Molecule: ribosomal RNA, 505 nt
Filed under: uncultured bacterium
Lineage: Bacteria
Description: partial 16S ribosomal RNA
Rfam family: Bacterial small subunit ribosomal RNA
Source: RNAcentral
GACGAACGCUGGCGGCGUGCCUAAUACAUGCAAGUCGAACGCACAGUUUAUACCGUAGCUUGCUACACCAUAGACUGUGAGUUGCGAACGGGUGAGUAACGCGUAGGUAACCUGCCUGGUAGCGGGGGAUAACUAUUGGAAACGAUAGCUAAUACCGCAUAAUAUUGAUUAUUGCAUGAUAAUUAAUUGAAAGGUGCAAUUGCACCACUACCAGAUGGACCUGCGUUGUAUUAGCUAGUAGGUGAGGUAACGGCUCACCUAGGCGACGAUACAUAGCCGACCUGAGAGGGUGAUCUGCCACACUGGGACUGAGACACGGCCCAGACUCCUACGGGAGGCAGCAGUAGGGAAUCUUCGGCAAUGGACGAAAGUCUGACCGAGCAACGCCGCGUGAGGGAAGAAGGUUUUCGGAUCGUAAAGCUCGGUUGUAAGAGAAGAACGGGUGUGAGAGUGGAAAGUUCACACUGUGACGGUAUCUUACCAGAAAGGGACGGCUAACUACGUG